CCACAUCCACCUCUAAUCCCAGAGACUUUAAGGUUAAAAUAUUUAUAAAGUCCUUCAAGUUUAAAAAAAAAUUGACAUGGGUUUUCAGAAUCAGACCCCAGUCCAUGGCCUAAGAUGGGUUGUUACUAUAUCCUGUUAAAAUAGUAUAGUAGUUAUUAAUUAGUUACAAUUAGUGGUUAUUACUUGUUAAGUAUAAACCUAUAUAAACUCAUGUAAACAAUAUGAUUAAAUCAAUCCGAUAUACCUUUACAUUCUUCUUUGAGUUGGGUUUCAAUCUUCACAGAGCAUCGAGCUUUCUGACAUGGUAUCAGACGGUUAAGCUAUUCUAUGAUGGUGAUCCCAAAAUCGAUCUUCUUGUCCUCUAUUCGUCCAGAUUCUUCCGUCUCCGAUUCAGAUUCUCUGUACAAAUUUCAAGUUACAAAUUGGAUCAUAAAUCAGUUGAAGCGGACGACUGGAGACCUACCUGUUCUGGCACGUCCAAUUUGAGAAUUUGCUCCGCCCUUGACAUCAACAAUAAAUAGAAAUAUUAAGUUCAUGUUCACUACAAUAAAAUAAAAAAUGUUAGCAUUUUACACCAACAUUUGAAACCAGAAUGUUUUUCGGUUAAGAUUAUGGUUAGGGUUAAGUACUCAAACAAUAUAUCUAAAUAUCCUCACAAUAUAAAAACUAAUAAAAUAAAUCCUUGCAUUGGUUUGAUCAGUUGAUCUUACGAUCUAUUUGAUUUUCGCAACCUUUGGAAACUGAUUAGUCAGUAUUAGGGAGUAGCUAGAGAUUAUACAUGAAUUCCAGUUAUAACCAUAAAUCACUAUAAUAACAGUAAUAACUAUAAUAACUCCUAACCUGAAAAAAUCAUGAAUGAUGAAACCAGACAAACCAUGUUUGUUGCUUAGAUCUUAAUGAAACAAUGAAAGUGAUGUCUGUCUGUGGUUGGCUAAUUAAUCAACCAUCAACAAACCGUUAACUGAACUCAUGGACUUAAUUGAAACAGGCCAAAGAACAAGUACGAUGAGAUUCAAAACACAUGUGGGCUAGCUUAGCUGUUAGUGUGGGAACAGGCCACAGCCUGGAUUGAAUUAUAUAUAUAUAUAUAUAUAUAUAUAUAUAUAUGCGGUGUUUCCGGUGUGCCCCGCCGGCCAUCUCCAUCAAAAUCUCACAAUCACAUGGCAGAAAAAUGACAUUUCGCAUCUCCUGCUGACAUAUAUGGUCGUUUCCCUCUUUGUCUUCUUCCUCACGAUUCUUGACUGCAAUCGAUCUCUGCUGAAAUUCCUGAGAAUGAGCGUGGGAAAACAAAAAAUGGAUGCUCCACAAGCUUGCGUCUUCUUACUUAGUUGGGCAAAAAAAACAAAGUUACUCAGAGCAUCUUGCCUCUUCU
This 1372-nucleotide long non-coding RNA is filed under the name Zostera marina. RNAcentral's name for it is "long non-coding RNA (ZMAR_LNC001024)". Lineage: Eukaryota; Viridiplantae; Streptophyta; Magnoliopsida; Alismatales; Zosteraceae. The record is from RNAcentral.